GAUGAAGAACGUAGCGAAAUGCGAUAAGUAAUGUGAAUUGCAGAAUUCAGUGAAUCAUCGAAUCUUUGAACGCACAUUGCGCCCCCUGGUAUACCGGGGGGCAUGUCCGUCCGAGCGUCAUUUCAACCCUCAAGCCCCCGGGCUUGGUGUUGGGGAUCGGCGAGCCUCCGCGCCCGCCGUCCCCUAAAUCUAGUGGCGGUCUCGCUGUAGCUUCCUCUGCGUAGUAGCACACCUCGCACUGGGAAACAGCGCGGCCACGCCGUUAAACCCCCAACUUCUGAACGUUUGACCUCGGAUCAGGUAGGAAUACCCGCUGAACUUAAGCAUAUCAAUAAGCGGAGGA
RNAcentral lists this unclassified non-coding RNA (343 nucleotides) under soil metagenome. RNAcentral's name for it is "partial contains 5.8S ribosomal RNA, internal transcribed spacer 2, and large subunit ribosomal RNA". The stretch from base 1 to 120 matches the Rfam family "5.8S ribosomal RNA", at positions 35 to 154 of the family's 154-position model. The record is from RNAcentral.